This is a long non-coding RNA of Ictalurus punctatus (channel catfish), 2485 nucleotides long. NCBI's taxonomy places the organism in Eukaryota, Metazoa, Chordata, Actinopteri, Siluriformes, Ictaluridae. The record is from Ensembl.
GGCAUAUGUUGAAUCUAUGUUAAAAUAUGAACUAGCAUUACAGAAAACAGGCUAAACUAUUAACUAGCAUUACAGAAAACAGGUUAAAAUAUUAACUAGCAUUACAGAAAACAGGUUAAAAUAUGAACUAGCAUUAAAGAAAACAGGUUAAAAUAUGAACUAGCAUUAAAGAAAACAGGUUAAAAUAUGAACUAGCAUUACAGAAAACAGGUUAAAAUAUGAACUAGCAUUACAGAAAACAGGCUAAACCAUUAACUAACAUUACAGAAAACAGGCUAAAAUAUGAACUAGCAUUACAGAAAACAGGCUAAACCAUUAACUAACAUUACAGAAAACAGGUUAAAAUAUGAACUAGCAUUACAGUACACAAACUUAACCAUGAAUUAGCAUUACACAUAACAAACUAAACCAUGAACUACUAUUAUAGCAAACAGGCUAAACCAUAACCUAGCAUUACAAUAAAAAGGCAAAAUCUAUGGACUAGCAUUAUAGUAAACAGUUCAAAUAUGAACGAGUAAUCAAUGACCUAACAUUACAACAAAUCAUUAAAUCAUGAACUAGCAUUUUAGUAAACUGGCUAAACUAUGGGCUAGCAUUAUACUAAACAGCUAACAUAUAAACAUGAAUUUCUUAGUGAGAUUUUGUAGCAAAAAUACACAUCUAGCUUAAUACACUGGCAUUUUAAACUUCUGAAAACCACAAGAUGUGAAAUUACUUAAUUUACAAAUCAUUCUUGAUGACUCAUAAAACAAACAGUCAAUAUGUUGUUAUUAUCAAGAAAUUAAUGGAUAAACACCAACACCAAGCUAAUGGGUAGUUGGCCAGGGAUGGGGGGAGGUCAUAUUUUCUCUUCACUUUGCUUCCUCAAGCAAAACAAAAGUGUGCCAUUACUGUGGACUAUAAAUGUGUGUUCAUGUGAAUGUAAAAUUCCACUACAACUCGACACACAAUUUCCACACUCUGUUUUCAAGAAAAUGUUUCCUUUUGCCACUUUUGCCUUCGCAAACAUCAAACAUCAGGAGCAUCUGAGGCCCUUCCACAGGCCUGACAAUGUGACCUAGUAAUACAAUAUCACUUCAUUAAAACUGUGCACACAUGCUCACAAACAGUUGUUCUUUAAUCUUCUACCAACUGUUUGGUAUUUGUUGGACAGAUAAAGCAUAUGAGAUAUAGACAUAACUGACCAACAAUAAUAUUUGUGCUCAGUAAAUCCACAUCAUUCAAAUGUUGUUUACUGCAGUAAUACAUCAUAAAUCACAAUGCUGAAUAGAGUUCCUGGUGCUAACUUUUGAUCUAAAGGAAUACAGCCAGGUUUGUUAACCUCACUGCAUGGCUAUCGUUACACCUAGCUUGCACAACAACACAAGCUUCAACAAACCAUGAAGCUUAAAAAUGAACCAUGAAGCAGUUACAUGAUCUGAAGUCAUGAUCAGGUAACUACCUGACAACAAUAAAAAUUUAACUUGUGUAAUAGACCAGAGAUCUUUUGAAAUCCAUUAAUUGAUGCGUAGUGACUCUGAAAAUUAGCAUACAGUCUUCUGUCAAACUGCUGGAACGGCAAGGCCAGUUCAUUUAUUUUUGCUGUAGACUGAACACAUCUGGCCUUGAGAUCAAAAGAUGAAUAUGAGAAGAGAGUUUAGAAUUUCAGCUUUUAUUUCCUGGUACUUACAACCCCAAUUCCAAAAAAGUUGGGACACUGUGUAAAAUGUACAUAAAUGUAAAUAAAAACAGAAUGCAAAGAUUUGCAAAUCCCAUAAACCCAUAUGUUAUUUACAAUAGAACAUAUGAAAACAUAUCAAAUGUUUAAACUGAGUAAAUGUACCAUUUAAAGAAAUAAAUAAGGUAGUUUUGAAUUUGAUGGCCGUAAACAUGUCUCAAAAAAGUUGGGACGGGGGCAACAAAAGGCUGGAAAAGUAAGUGUUAGUAAAAAAGACACAGCUGGAGGUUAAUUGGGAACAGGUCAGUAACAUGACUGGGUAUAAAAAGAGUAUCUUCUAGAGGCGGAGUCUUUCAGAAGUAAAGAUGGGCAGAGGUUCACCAAUCUGCGAAAACCUGCAUCUACAAUUUGUGGAACAAUUUCAGAAUAAUGUUCCUCAAUGUAAAAUUGCGAAGACUAUGAAUAUCUCAUCAUCAACAGUACGUAAUAUCGUCAAAAGAUUCAGAGAAUCUGGUCAAAUCUCUGUGAAAUCUCCACCUUUUUGGAAUUGGGAUGUGUUGAACAACACAAAACAGAACCUUUUUUAUCAGACCACCCAAUUGUUAGGCGAGUAAAAGUAUAGAAACAGACAAGUCUUGAAGUAAAUUAAAGUAAAUAGCAGUUAAUAUUUGUUUGAUUAUCCCUUGCUUGCAAUAACUGCACCAAGUCUGCGACUCACUAACACCACCAAAUUACUGGUGUCUUCUUUUGUGGUGCUUUUCCAGCCUUCUACAGGAGCUUCUUUUAGUUGUUGUUGUUGUUUUUUUGUUUUGUUUGUUUUUUUUUUUU